Molecule: ribosomal RNA, 247 nt
Filed under: Marasmiaceae sp. 1 CRJH-2017
Lineage: Eukaryota; Fungi; Basidiomycota; Agaricomycetes; Agaricales; Marasmiaceae
Description: partial 28S ribosomal RNA
Rfam family: Eukaryotic large subunit ribosomal RNA
Source: RNAcentral
AAAGCUCAAAUUUAAAAUCUGGCAGUCUUUGGCUGUCCGAGUUGUAAUUUAGAGAAGUGUUACCCGUGCUGGACCAUGUAUAAGUUUCCUGGAAUGGGGCAUCAUAGAGGGUGAGAAUCCCGUCUUUGACAUGGACUGCCAGUACAUUGUGGUAUGCUCUCAACGAGUCGAGUUGUUUGGGAAUGCAGCUCAAAAUGGGUGGUAAAUUCCAUCUAAAGCUAAAUAUAGACGAGAGACCGAUAGCGAA